This 253-nucleotide ribosomal RNA is filed under the name uncultured bacterium. Its description in RNAcentral is "partial 16S ribosomal RNA". It matches the Rfam family "Bacterial small subunit ribosomal RNA", at positions 524 to 776 of the family's 1533-position model. The record is from RNAcentral.
UACGUAGGGUGCAAGCGUUAAUCGGAAUUACUGGGCGUAAAGCGUGCGCAGGCGGUGAUGUAAGACAGAUGUGAAAUCCCCGGGCUCAACCUGGGAACGGCAUUGGAGACUGUCAAGCUAGAGUGCGUCAGAGGGGGGUAGAAUUCCACGUGUAGCAGUGAAAUGCGUAGAGAUGUGGAGGAAUACCGAUGGCGAAGGCAGCCCCCUGGGAUGACACUGACGCUGAAGCACGAAAGCGUGGGGAGCAAACAGG